This 200-nucleotide ribosomal RNA is filed under the name uncultured bacterium. Its description in RNAcentral is "partial 16S ribosomal RNA". It matches the Rfam family "Bacterial small subunit ribosomal RNA", at positions 29 to 258 of the family's 1533-position model. The record is from RNAcentral.
AGCGAACGCUGGCGGCAGGCCUAACACAUGCAAGUCGAACGAUCCUUCGGGAUAGUGGCGGACGGGUGAGUAACACGUGGGAACGUACCUUUAGGUUCGGGAUAACUCAGGGAAACUUGAGCUAAUACCGGAUAAGCCCUUAUGGGGAAAGAUUUAUCGCCUUUAGAGCGGCCCGCGUUAGAUUAGCUAGUUGGUGAGGU